CAUAAAAUCCCCCAAAUUUUUAAACAAACCUUGCUAUUACCACUAGACAAGAAGAGUGAAGAAGGAAGAAGAGGAGAAAAUUGAGAAAGUAAGAGGUUGGAGAAGCUUCAUUCACGGUUAGUAAUUAACCACUAAAUUUUUCUUUAGAAUUAUGUUUAUAUGCAUGAGUUAAUCUAGAAAUUGUGGAAAAAUGAAACAAAACCAACUUGUGAGACUAAUUGUAAAAUUCGGCCAGCCUUUGGGGGAGUUGAAAUUGGUUGAGUUUGAUGAAAUUAAAGGGGUCUAGAAGUGUAACUAAGUGUAUAGAUGUUGAAUUUGCACUUUAAUCUCAUUAAUUGCAUGAAUUAUAUAAUUAGGGUUCUUGGCCCUUAGGAUUUAGGGGAAAAAUUGUCGAAAAUGGUCAAUUGAUGCAAAUGACCUUAAUUGAGGUUUGAAAUAGUCAUUUUGAGUCAUUUGGAAUGUGUUUGAAUGAGUGAAAAUGAAGUGCAAUUCGGAUUAGUGAAGGGUCCCAAUCUCGCAGUUUGACCUAGGUCCGUUUGAGAGAUCAAAACUGAAAUUUUGCUAACCCAAUUGGUAUGAGACCAAUUGGG
This 590-nucleotide unclassified non-coding RNA is filed under the name Hevea brasiliensis (rubber tree). The record is from RNAcentral. Lineage: Eukaryota; Viridiplantae; Streptophyta; Magnoliopsida; Malpighiales; Euphorbiaceae.